UACCAGCACCCCGAGUGGUCGGGACGAUUAUUGGGCCUAAAGCAUCCGUAGCCGGUUCUGCAAGUCCCCCGUUAAAUCCAGCUGCUCAACAGAUGGGCCGCGGAGGAUACUACAGAGCUAGGAGGCAGGAGAGGCAAGCGGUACUCAGUGGGUAGGGGUAAAAUCCGUUGAUCCAUUGAAGACCACCAGUGGCGAAGGCGGCUUGCCAGAAUGCGCUCGACGGUGAGGGAUGAAAGCUGGGGGAGCGAACAGG
This 253-nucleotide ribosomal RNA is filed under the name uncultured bacterium. RNAcentral's name for it is "partial 16S ribosomal RNA". It matches the Rfam family "Archaeal small subunit ribosomal RNA", at positions 474 to 727 of the family's 1478-position model. The record is from RNAcentral.